This 484-nucleotide ribosomal RNA is filed under the name uncultured bacterium. RNAcentral describes it as "partial 16S ribosomal RNA". It matches the Rfam family "Bacterial small subunit ribosomal RNA", at positions 29 to 523 of the family's 1533-position model. The record is from RNAcentral.
AGUGAACGCUGGCGGCGUGCUUAACACAUGCAAGUCGAACGAGAACGGAUUAUAGCUUGCUAUAAUUGUCAGCUAAGUGGCGCACGGGUGAGUAAUGUAUAGGUAAUAUGCCUCUUACUAAGGGAUAACAAUUGGAAACGUUUGCUAAUACCUUAUACUCCUUAUUAACAUAAGUUAAUAAGGGAAAGAUUUAUUGGUAAGAGAUUAGCCUGUAUUGUAUCAGUUAGUUGGUGGGGUAAUGGCUUACCAAGACUAUGACACAUAACUGGUUUGAGAGGAUGAUCAGUCACACUGGAACUGAGACACGGUCCAGACUCCUACGGGAGGCAGCAGUGGGGAAUAUUGCACAAUGGACGAAAGUCUGAUGCAGCAACGCCGCAUGGAGGAUGACACAUUUCGGUGCGUAAACUCCUUUUAUAUGAGAAGAUAAUGACGGUAUUAUAUGAAUAAGCACCGGCUAACUCCGUGCCAGCAGCCGCCGUAA